AGUGAACGCUGGCGGUAGGCCUAACACAUGCAAGUCGAACGGCAGCACAGUAAUAGCUUGCUCUUACGGGUGGCGAGUGGCGGACGGGUGAGGAAUACAUCGGAAUCUACUUUUUCGUGGGGGAUACCGUAGUGAAACUUACGCUAAUACCCCAUACGACCUACGGGUGAAAGCAGGGGAUCUUCGGACCUUGCGCGAUUGAAUGAGCCGAUGUCGGAUUAGCUAGUUGGCGGGGUAAAGGCCCACCAAGGCGACGAUCCGUAGCUGGUCUGAGAGGAUGAUCAGCCACACUGGAACUGAGACACGGUCCAGACUCCUACGGGAGGCAGCAGUGGGGAAUAUUGGACAAUGGGCGCAAGCCUGAUCCAGCCAUACCGCGUGGGUGAAGAAGGCCUUCGGGUUGUAAAGCCCUUUUGUUGGGAAAGAAAAGCAGCAGGUUAAUACCCCGCUGUUCUGACGGUACCCAAAGAAUAAGCACCGGCUAACUUCGUG
Molecule: ribosomal RNA, 492 nt
Filed under: uncultured bacterium
Lineage: Bacteria
Description: partial 16S ribosomal RNA
Rfam family: Bacterial small subunit ribosomal RNA
Source: RNAcentral